CCCUUAGAUGUUCUGGGCCGCACGCGCGCUACACUGAUGCAUUCAACGAGUUUCUUCCUGGUCCGAGAGGAAUGGGUAACCUUUUGAAAGUGCAUCGUGAUAGGGAUAGACUAUUGCAAUUAUUGGUCUUCAACGAGGAAUUCCUAGUAGACGUAGUUCAUCAGACUGCAUCGAUUACGUCCCUGCCCUUUGAACACACCGCCCGUCGCUCCUACCGAUUGAAUGCUCAGGUGAGCCAUUCGGACUUUCAUCAUGCUGGUUUCCAGUUUUGAUGAAGGAAAGUCUUGCGAACCUUAUCAUUUAGAGGAAGGAGAAGUCGUAACA
RNAcentral lists this ribosomal RNA (324 nucleotides) under uncultured eukaryote. RNAcentral's name for it is "partial 18S ribosomal RNA". It matches the Rfam family "Eukaryotic small subunit ribosomal RNA", at positions 1470 to 1796 of the family's 1831-position model. The record is from RNAcentral.